Molecule: long non-coding RNA, 845 nt
Organism: Harmonia axyridis
Lineage: Eukaryota; Metazoa; Arthropoda; Insecta; Coleoptera; Coccinellidae
Exons: 2
Source: RefSeq, a predicted model, not a curated record
UUGGGAACACUGGGUAGUUGGUAUUGUCGCAUAACAAUAUGGCGACGGUGAAUAUGGUCAAUUCAACUGGAACCCUCUAAAAUUUAGGACUUUUUUAUGUAAAGAGUUUUUGACAUUGUUUCAUUUGUUCUUUUUUUGUAAAUGAGAACCUUCUGAAAUAAAGAUGUUAUUAUUAUUAACAAACUUGAACCUGCAAGAAUCAAGAGAAGAAUCAAGAGAGAACUGAAACACAAAAGAGAGGUUGGAAUUUACGCCGAAAACAUUUCAUCAUUUACAGUUACAGUAGAUAAGGAUGAAAUAUGUUUUUGUGUGAAAUAGCGAUACAUUAGUUUCUAACCCUGUCCCUCGGGUCGCUAGCAUCAAGAUUUCAAACGACUCUUCGCAGUCGUCAGUCUCCUCUCUCCUCUUUAUUUGUCUAUGGACCUAGUAUCAUGUUUCUUAUGCGGCAUGCCAGAAUUUCUCUCUAAGGGCCUGUCCCUGUCCAUUUGAUAUAACGUUUAUGGUACUCACACAGUGCACAGUAGAGAUAAUACAAAACAAACAUUUCUCGAUUUGUACUUGUACAUAUUUAUUUUCACAAUUAAGAAUUUACGAAGUGCUGAAGCCAGAAAUGGAAACAUACUCAAAAAUUUUCCUAGAUGAAAGUAAUCAUCACAGAGUAAAGAUGGAAAUGGGAGUAGAUGAUGGAAGCUAUGAAAAAAGGAAUUCAUUUGACUUGGGUUUUCAGUACACGACUGAUGGGGGGCAUAUUGAUGAAAAGACUAAAAUCAUGGAUAUUGCUCAUCAUUACACUGAUGAGAAUGGAAUAAGACCGUCUAUUAAAUAUGAAAUAGGCGAGUUUGCUU